UUAACAGUAUUUCAUAUUUUUAAAAUUUUCUCAAAAUCUAUGUGUUAACCCCUACGAAAAUAUUGAGUUGUUCGGUAAAUGUUCUAUAUACUGAAGUCCAUGAUCUUUAUUGGUGUUUUAAAAUUUCUAAACACACUUUACAUUUGUAUUAAUUUAUAUCUAACUCUAUUUCAAUGUACAUGGGCGUAGUUUAAAUCGUUUAUCAAUUAACUUAGUACAACUUCACAAUAUUUCUGAAAUUGGUGGACUAACCACUAUAAAUUCGGUAUUUUCUAGAGAAACAGAGUCAACAAAGGUUCCAAACCUCUUCGACCUUCAUCAUAUGUUAGUUCAGGAUGAAACUAUGCAUUAAAACAAUAUUUUCAUAAUUUUGAUUUUUCUCAAAAUCUAUGUGUUAGCACCUACGAAUAUAUUGACUUUUUCAGUAAAUAUUCUCUAUACUGAAACCU
This 449-nucleotide long non-coding RNA is filed under the name Brassica napus (rape). Its description in RNAcentral is "long non-coding RNA (BNAP_LNC003216)". Lineage: Eukaryota; Viridiplantae; Streptophyta; Magnoliopsida; Brassicales; Brassicaceae. The record is from RNAcentral.